Molecule: long non-coding RNA, 1040 nt
Organism: Brassica napus (rape)
Lineage: Eukaryota; Viridiplantae; Streptophyta; Magnoliopsida; Brassicales; Brassicaceae
Exons: 3
Source: RefSeq, a predicted model, not a curated record
AUCCUUAGCUAUAGGAAGAGCAGGGUAAACCUCAAAUAUAUAUAUUUUUUUCUCUUUUUCGGGACUUCUUCGUCUUCUCUUUGUUUUCUCCGACGGGGAUGGCAUUCAAUCAUCGUCUCUAAAUCUCCUCUCUGCUCCUUCGAAACCCUAAAGUACUCUUCGAUGGCGGAAGUAGAGAACAAAAGUCACGAGACCUGGAUUCCUCGCGUCGAAGCUGAAGGUCUUCCCCAGCGUUUCGCUUCAAGGAUCGUAGAGCUGAUUUUGCUGUUAAGGAAGUAGUAUCAAUGGGUAGUGAAAGUGAUUCGAUAUAAGAGAAAGCUGCUGCUCGUAAAGAGGCACUUAGAGCUCUGAGAGCAGCUCAGGUACUUUUUGAGAGCAAGGAAGAGGGAGAUGGUGAUGCUGCUGUUGAAGAAGAGUGAGUAUGCUUUGUUAUUUGGCAUGAAUCAUUGAAAAAAGCAAACUUGUCAAAGAUAUUUAGGGAAGGAACGAUUUGAUUAGAAUGUGGUUGUUGAUGAUAUGCUUCUUGUUGUGUGUUGGUUAAAGCAAAAGAAGUAGCUCCCAAGAUAAAGAGCUUCAGGAUGGUAAAGUUUCACCACCGGGAGGGUCCUUGUUGUCUUAUAUACACUCUGCUCCACCUCUUAAGCUAAAACAAAAUGGAUGGGUUGGAAACUUUGAGCAUCAUGUACUUGCAGUUGGGAAUAGCGAUUGUUAAUGACUUCAAAAGUGUUGAAGGAGACAGAGCAAUGGGACUUCAGUCUCUCCCAGUAGCUUUUGGCACUGAGGCUGCAAAAUGGAUAUGCGUUAGUGUUAUAGACGCUACUCAGCUCUCUGUUGCCGGUAUGUAGUAUGACUUCUAUUUCUUGUGUUUGAUCUUAUGAACUAGAUGAUCAUUAGUGAAUGUCUAUUCUGGUUGCGGUGUAUCUUGUAGUGAAAGUAUUGUCUUUAAAACUCUUCUCCAAACAAGUGUAAAACAAAUUCUCUUCCUUCUCUACAUUUUCAUCACAAAAUUUAUACACAGAGUAAUCAAAAACAAAUUCUGG